RNAcentral lists this ribosomal RNA (433 nucleotides) under uncultured bacterium. RNAcentral's name for it is "partial 16S ribosomal RNA". It matches the Rfam family "Bacterial small subunit ribosomal RNA", at positions 29 to 507 of the family's 1533-position model. The record is from RNAcentral.
AACGAACGCUGGCGGCAUGCCUAACACAUGCAAGUCGAACGAGACCUUCGGGUCUAGUGGCGCACGGGUGCGUAACGCGUGGGAACCUGCCCUUAGGUUCGGAAUAACUCCCCGAAAGGGGUGCUAAUACCGGAUAAUGUCUUCGGACCAAAGAUUUAUCGCCUUUGGAUGGGCCCGCGUUGGAUUAGCUAGUUGGUAGGGUAAAAGCCUACCAAGGCGACGAUCCAUAGCUGGUCUGAGAGGAUGAUCAGCCACACUGGGACUGAGACACGGCCCAGACUCCUACGGGAGGCAGCAGUGGGGAAUAUUGGACAAUGGGCGAAAGCCUGAUCCAGCAAUGCCGCGUGAGUGAUGAAGGCCUUAGGGUUGUAAAGCUCUUUUACCCGGGAUGAUAAUGACAGUACCGGGAGAAUAAGCGCCGGCUAGCUCCGUG